AUGGACUCGCCGCCUCCUGAGCAGCCCUCCGUCGACUCCGUCACGCACGAUUUGCGCCACCAGAGCUUGGCCGCCGACGCGCCGGGAGCACGGUUGAAGUUUGAGGAUCUGUACUGGGAUAACUAGUUCGUCAGAGAGCUGCCUGGUGAUCCUAGGACCGAUGCGCUUCCGCAAGAGGUCGGAGCCUGUUUCUGUUUGUUAACUCCAUCAGCUCCAGUUGAUGAUCCUCAGCUCAUUGCCUGGUCACAGUCGGUUGCUGAAUUGCUUGAAUUGGAUUCUCAAGAAUUUGAAAGGCCAGAUUUCCCUCUUUUAUUCUCUGGAGCGUCUUCUUUAGUCGGAUCAUAAGUAUUUCUCUGAAUGUCACCCUAUGCUCAGUGCCAUGGAGGACAUCAGUUCGGCAUGUGAGUGGGACAGUUGGGAGACGGUCAGGCUAUUACACUUGGGGGAGGUUCUUAACUCUAAAUCUGAAAGGUGGGGACUGCAGCUCAAAGGUGCUGGGAAGACCCCUUACAGCCUGUUUGCCGAUGGCCUUGCUGUGCUUCGUAGUAGCAUUCAGGAAUUUCUCUGCAGUGAAGCAAUGCAUAGUCUUGUUAUUCCAACGACCCGUGCUCUAUGUCUUGUGACAACUGGAAAACUUGUCACCCGUGACAUGUUCUAUGGUGGCAAUCCAAAGGAGGAGCCAGGUGCAAUUGUUUGGAGGGUUGCUCCAUCCUUCCUGCGGCUUGGAUCCUACUAAAUACAUGCCUCUAGGGAAACAGAAGACCUUGCCAUUGUUUGUACUCUAGCAGACUAUGCCAUUAGGCAUCACUUCCCACAUAUAGAGAACCCGAAUAGAAGUGAGAGUUUAUCGUUCAAUGCAGGGAACGAAGACCAUGAAGUCGUUGAUUUAACGUCUAACAAGCAUGCAGCCUGGGUGGUGGAGAUUGCUGAACGUACUGCGUCCUUGGUUGCCAAAUGGCAGGGGGUCAGUUUUGCUCAUGGUGUGUUGAACACUGACAAUAUGAGCAUUUUGGGCCUCACCAUUGAUUAUGGUCCUUUUGGAUUUCUUGAUGCAUUUGAUCCAAGUUACACCCCCGGUACAACGGAUCUUCCUGAGAGGAGAUAUUGUUUUGCAAAUUGGCUUAUGGAAUAUUAUGCAUUGUCAUCUGCCAAGUUGAUAAAUGAGGAGGCAAACUAUGCAAUGGAAAAGAAGUUGUGA
Fragaria vesca subsp. vesca is the source of this 1198-nucleotide RNA transcript. It is a transcript of the gene named UPF0061 protein AZOSEA38000-like, with no coding region annotated. The transcript has 6 exons. The record is from RefSeq and is a predicted model, not a curated record. NCBI's taxonomy places the organism in Eukaryota, Viridiplantae, Streptophyta, Magnoliopsida, Rosales, Rosaceae.